This 497-nucleotide ribosomal RNA is filed under the name uncultured bacterium. RNAcentral describes it as "partial 16S ribosomal RNA". It matches the Rfam family "Bacterial small subunit ribosomal RNA", at positions 28 to 507 of the family's 1533-position model. The record is from RNAcentral.
GAUGAACGCUGGCGGCGUGCCUAAUACAUGCAAGUCGAGCGAACGGACGAGAAGCUUGCUUUUCUGAUGUUAGCGGCGGACGGGUGAGUAACACGUGGAUAACCUACCUAUAAGACUGGGAUAACUUCGGGAAACCGGAGCUAAUACCGGAUAAUAUUUUGAACCGCAUGGUUCAAAAGUGAAAGACGGUCUUGCUGUCACUUAUAGAUGGAUCCGCGCUGCAUUAGGUAGUUGGUAAGGUAACGGCUUACCAAGGCAACGAUGCAUAGCCGACCUGAGAGAGUGAUCGGACACCCUGGAACUGAGACACGGUCCAGACUCCUACGGGAAGCAGCAGUAGGGAAUCUUACGCAAUGGGCGAAAGCCUGACGGAGCAACGCCGCGUGAGUGAUGAAGGUCUUCGGAUCGUAAAACUCUGUUAUUAGGGAAGAACAUAUGUGUAAGUAACUGUGCACAUCUUGACGGUACCUAAUCAGAAAGCCACGGCUAACUACGUG